This 458-nucleotide ribosomal RNA is filed under the name uncultured bacterium. RNAcentral describes it as "partial 16S ribosomal RNA". It matches the Rfam family "Bacterial small subunit ribosomal RNA", at positions 338 to 795 of the family's 1533-position model. The record is from RNAcentral.
CCUACGGGAGGCAGCAGUGGGGAAUAUUGCACAAUGGGGGAAACCCUGAUGCAGCGACGCCGCGUGAGUGAAGAAGUAAUUCGUUACGUAAAGCUCUAUCAGCAGGGAAGAAACACUGACCUUACGGUCAGCAGACGGUACCUGAGUAAGAAGCCCCGGCUAACUACGUGCCAGCAGCCGCGGUAAUACGUAGGGGGCAAGCGUUAUCCGGAUUUACUGGGUGUAAAGGGAGCGUAGACGGUGCGCCAAGUCUGUAGUGAAAUGCCGCAGCUUAACUGCGGAACCGCUUUGGAAACUGGCGAACUAGAGUGCGGGAGGGGGAAGCGGAAUUCCUAGUGUAGCGGUGAAAUGCGUAGAUAUUAGGAGGAACACCGGUGGCGAAGGCGGCUUACUGGACCGUAACUGACGUUGAGGCUCGAAAGCGUGGGGAGCAAACAGGAUUAGAUACCCCAGUAGUC